This 72-nucleotide transfer RNA is filed under the name Camelus bactrianus (Bactrian camel). It matches the Rfam family "tRNA". Rfam says of the family: Transfer RNA (tRNA) molecules are approximately 80 nucleotides in length. Their secondary structure includes four short double-helical elements and three loops (D, anti-codon, and T loops). Further hydrogen bonds mediate the characteristic L-shaped molecular structure. tRNAs have two regions of fundamental functional importance: the anti-codon, which is responsible for specific mRNA codon recognition, and the 3' end, to which the tRNAs corresponding amino acid is attached (by aminoacyl-tRNA synthetases). tRNAs cope with the degeneracy of the genetic code in two manners: having more than one tRNA (with a specific anti-codon) for a particular amino acid; and 'wobble' base-pairing, i.e. permitting non-standard base-pairing at the 3rd anti-codon position. RNAcentral also lists the same sequence under 2 other names. The record is from Rfam by way of RNAcentral. Lineage: Eukaryota; Metazoa; Chordata; Mammalia; Artiodactyla; Camelidae.
GAAGGUAUAGCGCAGUGGUGGAGCACGUGCUUAGCAUGCAGGGGGUCCUGGGUUCAAUACCCAGCACCUCCA